Molecule: long non-coding RNA, 510 nt
Organism: Mytilus californianus (California mussel)
Lineage: Eukaryota; Metazoa; Mollusca; Bivalvia; Mytilida; Mytilidae
Exons: 4
Source: RefSeq, a predicted model, not a curated record
UGUACAUCCAACAGCAAAGACAAAACUUACAGAAAAGAACAAUAGUGAAGAAAAAACAGAGUGGAUGAUGAAUCUCAGUAUAUCUGUAGCCAUUUUUUCAUUGGUGGUGGUUGUUAUUGUUUCAGUUUCAAAAUGUUGCAGAAAAAUACUGGAAAACAAAAAAAGUGCAAUUAAAGAAAGAAUUACAGAAAAACGCCAGAAAAUUUCACACGAAAGAAAAACUAACCUCUAUGGUACAAAUGGAAGACAAAAAAUCGCCAAUGAUGAUGAAAAGUAUGAAUUCGAUAGUGACAACUACGCCGAAGACCCGUAUGCAAUGAUCCGGGACUCUCAAAUUCUUCCUGAAACAUCUCUUGUUAGUAACGACCAGAAUGCAAACUUUUCACUUGUAAGUAACCAUCUGGAUGCAAACUUUUACACAAGUGGUUACAAUCAUCUAAAUUUGAUGGGGAUAUCCUACAAACAUGGAAAUCAACACGACAAGAGGCGUAGUUAUUCGCGAGAUGUCAA